RNAcentral lists this ribosomal RNA (377 nucleotides) under uncultured eukaryote. RNAcentral describes it as "partial 18S ribosomal RNA". It matches the Rfam family "Eukaryotic small subunit ribosomal RNA", at positions 592 to 976 of the family's 1831-position model. The record is from RNAcentral.
CAAUAGCGUAUAUUAAAGUUGUUGCAGUUAAAAAGCUCGUAGUUGGAUUUCGGGGCAGCCUGGCUGGUCCGCCGCAAGGCGAGUACUGGUCAGCCGCCCUUCCUCUCGAAAGCCCCGACUGCUCUUCGUUGCAGUGGUCGGGUAGUUCGGGACGUUUACCUUGAAAAAAUUAGAGUGUUCAAGGCAGGCCUACGCCUGAAUACAUUAGCAUGGAAUAAUGGAAGAGGACCUCGGUCCUAUUUUGUUGGUUUCCAGGGCCGAAGUAAUGAUUAAGAGGGACAGUUGGGGGCAUUCGUAUUUAAUUGUCAGAGGUGAAAUUCUCGGAUUUAUGAAAGACGAACAACUGCGAAAGCAUUUGCCAAGGAUGUUUUCAUUAA